CCUGGCGACCAUAGCGACGUGGCCCCACCCGAUCCCAUCCCGAACUCGGCAGUGAAACGCGUCUGCGCCGAUGGUAGUGUGGCCUAAGCCAUGCAAGAGUAGGUCAUCGCCAGGA
Molecule: ribosomal RNA, 115 nt
Filed under: Lysobacterales bacterium CG02_land_8_20_14_3_00_62_12
Lineage: Bacteria; Pseudomonadati; Pseudomonadota; Gammaproteobacteria; Lysobacterales
Source: RNAcentral